This is a long non-coding RNA of Oncorhynchus tshawytscha (Chinook salmon), 401 nucleotides long. Lineage: Eukaryota; Metazoa; Chordata; Actinopteri; Salmoniformes; Salmonidae. The record is from Ensembl.
UGUUAGGCUAGCCAGGUCUGGUCUGAGGCAGGGCAGACAGGUGUGUUAGGCUAGCCAGGUCUGGUCUGAGGCAGGGCAGACAGGUGUGUUAGGCUAGCCAGGUCUGGUCUGAGGCAGGGCAGACAGGUGUGUUAAGCUAGCCAGGUCUGGUCUGAGGCAGGGCAGACAGGUGUGUUAAGCUAGCCAGGUCUGGUCUGAGGCAGGGCAGGGCAGACAGGUGUGUUAAGCUAGCCAGGUCUGAUCUGAGGCAGGGCAGACAGGUGUGUUAAGCUAGCCAGAUCUGGUCUGAGGCAGGGCAGGGCAGACAGGUGUGUUAACCUAGCCAGGUCUGGUCUGAGGCAGGGCAGGGCAGACAGGUGUGUUAAGCUAGCCAGGUCUGGUCUGAGGCAGGACAGGGCAGA